UUUGCUGACAAAUUUAUCUCCUUUAUACUCGUGCACUGAAGCUUCACUUACGCACACCAACAUUAAGCCCAAAAACAACAACAACAACAACACAACCACUGAUUGAUUCAUCUUCACAGGCAUUGUGGUCACCAACUGAGAGAGUUUAUGACUGUGGGUACGCGUCUGUUUUGCUGGAUCUGCUCUGCUCAGCAGCUGAUGUGAACAAACUGUGAGAUGAGGAGACAGGUGCGAAUGAGAUCUUGGGUUUGAGUGUUUUGGUCAGAGAGAGAAGAAGCUUGUAUAUUGGUUAAUUUUCAAAAUUUACCUUUUAAUUUGCCAAGCCAACAAAUAGAUCCAUGUUUCUACUUCUUGUCUCUCUUUUUUUCCUUUUUUUUAGGGAAAAAAAAAAGGUUUGGAUGUGAUGAAAAUUCUCAGGAUCUCUCCUAUUAAAUACUAAUAUUUAUUUUUAUUAUCAUUUGAGCUCAUUUUAUUAUGUAUAUACAUUACAUUCACGACUGAUAGAGUAUACCCAAAAAUAUCAUUGAUAAUUUUUAAUUUAUUAAUCCCUCCACUAGAAAUAAAUAAUAUAAGCAUGAUAAUAUCAUUUUAGUAGGAGUAACAAUUGAAUUGUUUAGGUUUGAGAAUCGGUGCAAGAUCACUUUCAAUUUGAAGCGAGAUUCCAAAAAAUGAAUCAAGAUUUCAAAAACAAAAAAAUAAGGAAAUGACAUUUGCCCAGUACUAGAUUUAUUAUGACCAUAAUUUUAUCAGCCUUAAUAAACUGGGCUAGAAAUUCGGGAAAAAUGAUUUAAAAUAGCGAAUGACAUAAAGUUAUUUGCUAGUUUCAAUUAUUGUUCCUAGAGGCAUAAAAUUAAAAGCAUGCAACUUCUUAUUAUUAUUUGUUAAUAGAACUAGAUGAUAGACUGUGGCACAGGUAUGGAUUUGAGAUGAAUGGGUAAGUUUAUGAACUUAUUUACUAUUGUUUCAAAUUAUAGGUACUAUUUGAUAAUUUUCGUUUAAUUUAAUAUUAACGGCACGAGAAAUACGUCCGUUCGUGGCGUGGGCCACCGUGUGGGCGCGUUCGCAGAAAGAGAAAACUAACAGCUGUAACAACAACUGUAAGGGACGUGCGUAGAUGUAACAAACAAUUAAGAUGAUUGGGCGAUAUGGGGAAACAGGGAAGGCCAAUGGGGCCGCUUAUGGUUGAUGGAAUAUUAGAGGCCAGGGCCCAAGGCCCAAAAUUCUCGGAAUGAUUCGAAAUAAUUCUUCACAUAAUCUUACGCACUUGACUUGAUCAAAAGACGUUUGUUAUUAAGUUUUCGGAUGAUUCGAUUAUGAAAAAGCAAAUGUUUGCAAGAUUGUAUUAGCUUGGAAUUGAUGUCAUCUGUGAAUGUUUUCACUGCCUUCACUGCAUAAAAUUCUCUGAAUUCAGAAAAAAAAGUGGAUUAAGCGAACCUAAUCUUGAGAGUAUAAAGCGAUGAAACCAGUACCAACUGCAAAUUGCAAAUCAUACAUAGUACAAGCAUUCUUGACUAAUAAUAUUACAAAGAUUUCCCAGGGAGCAUGGAAUGCUAAUCAAUUCUCCUGCACCACCAACCGCUUAAUAUUUUGCGAAACAUUGGGUGCACGACACAUGCUAGUCCAGAUCCAGAAACUCCAUUCUUUUCCGCAUUGAACCUUUAAGAUCUGAUGCCUCCCUCUCUGCUUUCUGAGCCUGAAGAAGUUACAAUGCUGGUAGUUAAUAGUAAGUCUAUGUCAAGACAAUAAAGUUCAGAGUACAUGCCAUCUCUUUGUCUUUUCUGGAUUAUAUUAUGUAAAGUGCUCUAAAAGCCCCAUUAAAUAUACUCAGAAAUCAAGAUUCAUAUGAAAAAGAGUCUGAAACUUAACUUACCGAAUGUAAGAAUCUCCGUUGUUAGCAGCAGUCUCAUUGACAUGAGCAUCAGAAAAAGAAGAGUAAAUCCCUUCACUGCCGGCAUGCACAACAAAAGCAUUCCCUUUGCUGACAAAUUUAUCUCCUUUAUACUCGUGCACUGAAGCUUCACUUACGCACACCAACAUUAAGCCCAAAAACAACAACAACAACAACACAACCACUGAUUGAUUCAUCUUCACAGGCAUUGUGGUCACCAACUGAGAGAGUUUAUGACUGUGGGUACGCGUCUGUUUUGCUGGAUCUGCUCUGCUCAGCAGCUGAUGUGAACAAACUGUGAGAUGAGGAGACAGGUGCGAAUGAGAUCUUGGGUUUGAGUGUUUUGGUCAGAGAGAGAAGAAGCUUGUAUAUUGGUUAAUUUUCAAAAUUUACCUUUUAAUUUGCCAAGCCAACAAAUAGAUCCAUGUUUCUACUUCUUGUCUCUCUUUUUUUCCUUUUUUU
RNAcentral lists this long non-coding RNA (2350 nucleotides) under Citrus sinensis (sweet orange). Its description in RNAcentral is "long non-coding RNA (CSIN_LNC000336)". The record is from RNAcentral. Lineage: Eukaryota; Viridiplantae; Streptophyta; Magnoliopsida; Sapindales; Rutaceae.